GGUGAAGUGGUUUACCCAUGGAGCUGAAAUCAGUCGAAGAUACCAGCUGGCUGCAACUGUUUAUUAAAAACACAGCACUGUGCAAACACGAAAGUGGACGUAUACGGUGUGACGCCUGCCCGGUGCCGGAAGGUUAAUUGAUGGGGUUAUCCGUAAGGAGAAGCUCUUGAUCGAAGCCCCGGUAAACGGCGGCCGUAACUAUAACGGUCCUAAGGUAGCGAAAUUCCUUGUCGGGUAAGUUCCGACCUGCACGAAUGGCGUAAUGAUGGCCAGGCUGUCUCCACCCGAGACUCAGUGAAAUUGAACUCGCUGUGAAGAUGCAGUGUACCCGCGGCAAGACGGAAAGACCCCGUGAACCUUUACUAUAGCUUGACACUGAACACUGGUCCUUGAUGUGUAGGAUAGGUGGGAGGCUUUGAAGUGUGGACGCCAGUCUGCAUGGAGCCAUCCUUGAAAUACCACCCUUUAAUGGCUGGUGUUCUAACGUAGACCCGUGAUCCGGGUUGCGGACAGUGUCUGGUGGGUAGUUUGACUGGGGCGGUCUCCUCCUAAAGAGUAACGGAGGAGCACGAAGGUUAGCUAAUCCUGGUCGGACAUCAGGAGGUUAGUGCAAAGGCAUAAGCUAGCUUGACUGCGAGAGUGACGGCUCGAGCAGGUGCGAAAGCAGGUCUUAGUGAUCCGGUGGUUCUGAAUGGAAGGGCCAUCGCUCAACGGAUAAAAGGUACUCCGGGGAUAACAGGCUGAUACCGCCCAAGAGUUCAUAUCGACGGCGGUGUUUGGCACCUCGAUGUCGGCUCAUCACAUCCUGGGGCUGAAGUAGGUCCCAAGGGUAUGGCUGUUCGCCAUUUAAAGUGGUACGCGAGCUGGGUUUAGAACGUCGUGAGACAGUUCGGUCCCUAUCUGCCGUGGGCGCUGGAGAAUUGAGGGGGGCUGCUCCUAGUACGAGAGGACCGGAGUGGACGCAUCACUGGUGUUCGGGUUGUCAUGCCAAUGGCAUUGCCCGGUAGCUAAAUGCGGAAGAGAUAAGUGCUGAAAGCAUCUAAGCACGAAACUUGCCCCGAGAUGAGUUCUCCCUGACUCCUUGAGAGUCCUGAAGGAACGUUGAAGACGACGACGUUGAUAGGUCGGGUGUGUAAGUGUAGCGAUACAUUGAGCUAACCGAUACUAAUGAACCGUGAGGCUUAACCUU
RNAcentral lists this ribosomal RNA (1189 nucleotides) under Citrobacter portucalensis. RNAcentral's name for it is "partial 23S ribosomal RNA". It matches the Rfam family "Bacterial large subunit ribosomal RNA", at positions 1745 to 2925 of the family's 2925-position model. The record is from RNAcentral. Lineage: Bacteria; Pseudomonadati; Pseudomonadota; Gammaproteobacteria; Enterobacterales; Enterobacteriaceae.